Molecule: ribosomal RNA, 331 nt
Filed under: uncultured bacterium
Lineage: Bacteria
Description: bacterial SSU rRNA
Rfam family: Bacterial small subunit ribosomal RNA
Source: RNAcentral
AAUGCAGCGGAUCCGCAUGGAUAUGUGUAAAGGUUACCGCCUUGGGAUAGGCUUGCGUCUGAUUAGCUAGUUGGUGUGGUAACGGCACACCAAGGCUACGAUCAGUAACUGGGUCUGAGAGGAUGAUCAGUCACACUGGAACUGAGACACGGUCCAGACUCCUACGGGAGGCAGCAGUGAGGAAUAUUGGGCAAUGCUCGAAAGAGUGACCCAGCAACGCCGCGUGGAGGAUGAAGGUAUUCUAUAUCGUAAACUCCUGUGAGAGCAGACGAAAGACAGAUUAUUAAUCUGGAUGGCUGUAUGCUCAGAGGAAGCCCCGGCUAACUACGUG